Molecule: ribosomal RNA, 464 nt
Filed under: uncultured bacterium
Lineage: Bacteria
Description: bacterial SSU rRNA
Rfam family: Bacterial small subunit ribosomal RNA
Source: RNAcentral
CCAGACUCCUACGGGAGGCAGCAGUGAGGAAUAUUGGUCAAUGGGCGGGAGCCUGAACCAGCCAAGCCGCGUGAGGGAAGAAGGUACAGCGUAUCGUAAACCUCUUUUGUCAGGGAACAAAGGCGGGGACGUGUCCCCGGAUGAGUGUACCUGAAGAAAAAGCAUCGGCUAACUCCGUGCCAGCAGCCGCGGUAAUACGGAGGAUGCGAGCGUUAUCCGGAUUUAUUGGGCGUAAAGCGCGCGUAGGCGGUCAUGUAAGCGGGACCUCUAAUCUUGGGGCUCAACCUCAAGCCGGGUUCCGAACUACAUGACUCGAGUGUGGUAGGGGAGAUCGGAAUUCCCGGUGUAGCGGUGGAAUGCGCAGAUAUCGGGAAGAACACCGAUGGCGAAGGCAGAUCUCUGGGCCAUAACUGACGCUGAGGCGCGAAAGCUAGGGGAGCAAACAGGAUUAGAUACCCUCGUAA